ACCUCUAUGCUGUCUCCUACAAAAGGAAGUGUCGUUUGAGUGCAACAAGGCGUGUGAGCAAGCAUUCAACCAUCUCAAGGACCUACUCACUUCGGCACCAAUUGAUAGGAGCAUUUUUAUGCGACUUAAUUGGCUUGUUCUCAUGCAUUUAUGUUGUUUUUCCUUAGUUAGUUUAGUGUUUAAAGUCAUUUUCGUGCAAUUUCAGGUGUUAUGGUCAAAGUGUGCAAAAAGGUGCAUUUUGGAGCAAAAAUGGGCUUGGAAUGGAUUGCAUAUGCAUGGAGCAAGGAGGAUGGACGAAAUUGAAGAUCAAAUGAGGCUAGAAAGAUGUUAGAAGACAUAAGAAAUCAGUUUUGAAGCUUGGAAGACAAAGAAAGACACAAAUUGAAGCAUCCCUACAAAGGUGGCGCCUUGUACCCUUUGUGUUCCCUCCUUGUCUCCCUUGUUGCAACAAAUCCCCUUGCUAUGUUUCCCUAUCCUUAAACCAUGUAAAAACCUUUCCUUUUCCCCUUAGGACUUUGAAAAACCCCUUCCCUUAGUCCUUAGGAUUCAGCCGCACCUUUCCCACCAAUUUCCUUGCCUUGCCGCACAAGGAAUCACCUUUCCCUUUAGUUUUAGGUCACUUACCCCUUUCCUAAGCCUUUGCCACACCUUUGAGAAGAAUCCCUGCCCUUUACUCUUCCUUGCCGUGCAAGGGAGAGCAUUCUUUCCUAUUUCCUUGCAUUCAAAUCAUAUUCCCUUGCCUUUUUCCUCAUGCCGCACCCUUUAACCUAUUUCCCUUAGUAUUUUGGUUCUAAUUUCCUAUUUUCUUUAAGUUUUAGUUUAAUUUCUGAUUACCUAAAUUAUUUUGGAGCCUUGUUCUAUAAAUACUAAGCUUUGCCGCAGCCUUAGGGUGACCAUUCACCAAUUCACACAACUUUACACAAUUCUACCAUCACUACACCUUUGCCGUGCCCAUCCUUCACCCAAUUCCAUACCUUCUAACCCUAAAACACAUCCCAAACACUUGACCCACCUUUGUGCCGUAGCAAGGAGAAAGAAGGAAUGACUCUUGGAUGCUCAAGCUUCAUCGUUGGUGCAUUCUAGGUGUAAUUCGUUUUAUGAUUUCAAUGUUUAAUUUCUUUUCCUUUCGUUUUGCUAUGAACAUGAGUGGCUAAACCCCUAUUGGUUAGGGGUGAUUUCGAAGCCAUGACUAUGUGUGCAAUUUGAUUUGAUAAAUUCCAGUUAUGAGUUCUUGAAUCGUGAAU
This 1244-nucleotide long non-coding RNA is filed under the name Malus domestica (apple). RNAcentral describes it as "long non-coding RNA (MDOM_LNC019706)". Lineage: Eukaryota; Viridiplantae; Streptophyta; Magnoliopsida; Rosales; Rosaceae. The record is from RNAcentral.